UCUGGUAGUCUUUGGCUGCCCGAGUUGUAAUCUAGAGAAGUGUUACCCGUGCCGGACCGUGUGUAAGUCUCCUGGAAUGGAGCGUCAUAGAGGGUGAGAAUCCCGUCUUUGACACGGACUCCCGGGACUUUGUGGUAUGCUCUCAAAGAGUCGAGUUGUUUGGGAAUGCAGCUCAAAAUGGGUGGUAAAUUCCAUCUAAAGCUAAAUAUUGGCGAGAGACCGAUAGCGAACAAGUACCGUGAGGGAAAGAUGAAAAGAACUUUGGAAAGAGAGUUAAACAGUACGUGAAAUUGCUGAAAGGGAAACGCUUGGAGUCAGUCAUGUUGACCAGAAAUCAACCUUACUUCUGUUUGGUGUACUUUCUGGCUGACAGGCCAGCAUCAGUUUUGACCGGUGGAAAAAGUUCAAGGGAAUGUGGCAUCUCUGGAUGUGUUAUAGCCCUUGGUCGUAUACAUCGGUUGGGACUGAGGAAUUCAGCACGCCGCAAGGAGGGUCUUUGACCACAUUCGUGCUUAGGAUGCUGGCAUAAUGGCUUUAAUCGACCCGUCU
Molecule: ribosomal RNA, 549 nt
Filed under: Coprinopsis cf. uliginicola
Lineage: Eukaryota; Fungi; Basidiomycota; Agaricomycetes; Agaricales; Psathyrellaceae
Description: partial large subunit ribosomal RNA
Rfam family: Eukaryotic large subunit ribosomal RNA
Source: RNAcentral